GUUUCUUCGGAAAUGGAUUAGCGGCGAACGGGUGAGGAACACGUGAAGAAUCUGCCCUCCACUUUGGGAUAACACAGGGUAAACCUGUGCUAAUACCGAAUAUUGAAACAUAAGUGGCAUCACUGAGUUUUGAAAGAAUUUCGGUGGAGGAUGACUUCGCGGCCUAUCAGCUAGUUGGUGAGGUAAUGGCUCACCAAGGCAACGACGGGUAGCCGGCCUGAGAGGGCGACCGGCCACACUGGGACUGAGACACGGCCCAGACUCCUACGGGAGGCAGCAGUGGGGAAUAUUGGGCAAUGGAGGAAACUCUGACCCAGCGACGCCGCGUGCGGGAUGAAGGCCUUCGGGUUGUAAACCGCUUUCAGUAGGGAAGAAGCGAAAGUGACGGUACCUACAAAAGAAGCACCGGCUAACUAUGUGCCAGCAGCCGCGGUAAUGCAUAGGGUGCAAGCGUUGUCCGGAAUUAUUGGGCGUAAAGAGCUCGUAGGUUGUUUGUUACGUCGGAUGUGAAAACCUGAGGCUCAACCUCAGGCCUGCAUUCGAUACGGGCAAACUAGAGUUUGGUAGGGGAGACUGGAAUUCCUGGUGUAGCGGUGGAAUGCGCAGAUAUCAGGAGGAACACCAAUGGCGAAGGCAGGUCUCUGGGCCAAUACUGACACUGAGGAGCGAAAGUCUGGGGAGCGAACAGGAUUAGAUA
This 697-nucleotide ribosomal RNA is filed under the name uncultured Actinomycetes bacterium. Its description in RNAcentral is "bacterial SSU rRNA". It matches the Rfam family "Bacterial small subunit ribosomal RNA", at positions 74 to 784 of the family's 1533-position model. Lineage: Bacteria; Bacillati; Actinomycetota; Actinomycetes. The record is from RNAcentral.